Molecule: ribosomal RNA, 396 nt
Filed under: uncultured bacterium
Lineage: Bacteria
Description: partial 16S ribosomal RNA
Rfam family: Bacterial small subunit ribosomal RNA
Source: RNAcentral
AUACGUAGGGAGCGAGCGUUGUCCGGAAUUACUGGGUGUAAAGGGAGCGUAGGCGGGAGUGCAAGUCAGAUGUGAAAUACAUGGGCUCAACCCAUGGGCUGCAUUUGAAACUGCAUUUCUUGAGUGAAGUAGAGGUAAGCGGAAUUCCUGGUGUAGCGGUGAAAUGCGUAGAUAUCAGGAGGAACACCGGUGGCGAAGGCGGCUUACUGGGCUUUUACUGACGCUGAGGCUCGAAAGCGUGGGGAGCAAACAGGAUUAGAUACCCUGGUAGUCCACGCUGUAAACGAUGAUUACUAGGUGUGGGGGGACUGACCCCUUCCGUGCCGCAGUUAACACAAUAAGUAAUCCACCUGGGGAGUACGGCCGCAAGGUUGAAACUCAAAUGAAUCGACGGGG